GGAGGUGUGUGGGGGCCGUGCGGGAUUAAAUUAGGCACACAGGGGCUUAUGGGAACCAAAGGACAGCACAGGCACUGAUACCACACAGCUCACCUGAGCGAGCGUGUCCUUGAGAGAUAGGAGUCCGUAAUCCCUGUGCCUCCGCUGGGAACGCCGGGAAUGCGCCGUGAAUGCAUGCAUCAGGCUUAAGGUCACACUGGCUCACUCCAGUCAUGCUGGAUUUGCUGUAUGUGCAUUUACAUGCACAAGUGAAGUGACUGAAAGAACUAGCCUUCCCGUGCUCCCCUGGGCGAGGAGGAAACUUUGGGUCUGAAGCGAUUGCUGGUGUUUGAAGCCGCCGGGCCCUCAUUCCCAUCACCGGGCUUCAAAGACGAUCUGGCCACAGAUGCACCGUUAACCUGGAGAUUUAAACAAGUGAUGCUGCAGUGUGACCACACUGAAAUGCUGAGAUGAGAUUUUGAAGCUCUUGCUGUUCUGUGAACCGCAGCUGGACAAAGAUAAUUUUGGCAAGCCCUCACACCACUGACCUGAAGUGGGUCUCCACAGAUUUAACAACUGUACUCAAGAUAUCAGAAGCGUCCGUGUCUCUUUCAGAUGCGACCCCUGAGCAGAAGGUCACCAAGCAGAUGAACUGAAGAGGCAGGCCGUCCUCAUCCCAGCAUCUCUCCAUCACCGCCUGCCGAUUCUAUAGCUAUAUUGUGUCCCGCAUCAUAAUGGCUUCCAAGAGUAUUCAUUUGCUGAAGAGUCUCACAUACCUGGAAUUCGUGAGAGUGUCACUUCAGAUUCACUCUUUCUUCGGCACUCAUUCUGCACUUUAUUACUCUGAAACGCUUCUGACCCUGGCUAUAAUUCCCAUUCUAUUUCAAGGAGAGCAUCGCAAUAAAGCACAAAUCUAGGGGUGGGAGUGAAAUCCAGUGGGGUCCUGGAUUGUGAAUGUCAGAGCGAGCAAACAGAGGGGGAUGGGCUGGAGAGAAGAAAGAGAAAAAGCACAAGAACAGAGAAAGGGAGAGCGUGUGAUGGCUUACUGUGAAUAUUUUCGUUCCUCUUGUGUUCUAUCUGUUAUCGGGGCGUUUGACUCGCCUCAUGACGUGUCAGUCCCGACUUCAAAAGAAUCCAGGCAGCAGCCUUUCACCCCCACUAUAUAUGCUUCGGAAUCGCUUCUGGGAUUGAAUUAGGGCAAAUCCAUUAUACAGUUGCCAUGGAGACAAGGCACAAAUGCUGAUAAAGUGUGUGUGUGUGUGCAUUUUUUUUCUCGCCAAAUAGGCUCGAUGAAACAGACUGCAUGCAUACAUGCCACAUUCUGUGCAGAAUGACAGCGAAACUUCCUGUGUGUGUGCCAUGAAAGGUCUGACUCCGAUUGGGAAUGCUUAAGUAGUCGAGCGCCUGCAGGAGUGCUGCACUUACCCAUACCAUCAUUGCAGCGCUGAGGCAGAAUCGAGCUCAGGUGCCAAUUAAAGGAAGGUUGGGCCUCUGCUGGAGCAGCCACAACUAAUGUGUCACUUUCAUUGGGCGGCUACAAAUAGUUGAGAUGGUUAUCAUUACAAAAACGAGAGCAUGUUCAAUCAGACGGAGGGAUAAAUCACCCCGCGUCUGACGUGGAACAAAGGCACCUGGGGUCAGGAGAUACAGGCUCUGUAUUACCUGAAUAUAAAAACACAUGCAGUACAAAAGCUCCUGAUGCCAGGUUUAGAGGAACAAAAUGUGAGCUUUGCUUAUCUGCAUGCUGCUCAAAUUGCAUAUGAUGUAUUUUAUUACAUGGAUCAUACAAGCUGUCAUAUUAUUCUAUAAUAAAGCAUAUAGUUG
Carassius carassius (crucian carp) is the source of this 1803-nucleotide long non-coding RNA. RefSeq lists it as uncharacterized. Lineage: Eukaryota; Metazoa; Chordata; Actinopteri; Cypriniformes; Cyprinidae. The transcript is spliced from 4 exons. The record is from RefSeq and is a predicted model, not a curated record.